UUCAGAUUUUAAAAAUUUGAAUAAAAAAUGUAUAAGCUUUAAUGCAUUUAACAAAAUAACAGAAGCAGUUAAAUGUCAAAGGUUUCAUUUUCAUUUUUCAGUUUUAUUGACAAAUAACAACUUGCAAAGGAGUGGAAAAAGGGGGAAUCAGGAUUAGGCUUAAAAUAAAGUCUUGAGAUUCAUUUAUUAUAGGCUUAGAACUGAACAAAUACUUGUAAUUGGCUCAGAGGAAGACAGGAAUCAUGUCUUUGUGGCUGUUUUUCUGGCUUUGUCAGUGUGAGUGGUAACAUGGAUUUGAAGCUAUUCAAUAAGUGGUUUAAACUUGAAGAAUCUGAAGGAUUGAGAAAGACAAAUCCAGCACAUCAAGAGGAAAAACCAGAGGAAAAACAUCCACUGUGGGAGGAACAUAAUAUCUCUAAUGCCCAGCAAUAUGAUGAAGCCAAAGUACCUGUGCAAUUUUACAGGGUGAACGGAUGGCGGAGGAGGAGACAUAUAUCAGGUCAGAGCUAAACAUCAUUUUUGAGAUGCUUCUUUCUUCUUUUUUGCAUUUUAAUACCAGUUACUAUUUUUGUUAAUCCUUCCCAAUGUGUUUCAUAUGGGAAUUGCUUAUUUUUGUUUCUCUAUUGAUUUCUCUAACUAGCCAGAGUGUUUUGAGACCUGCAUCAAAGACACAGUGGACUCAGGUGAGGACUCUGAACCAGACAGGCCACCUAAUGCCUUCUGCACCCAGCUCUUCACAAUGGAAAAGAAGUUUGAAAUGAGAAUGUCUGACAGAGGUGUAGAAAUUCAUUGUGCCAGUGAGACGAGACGACAGAUAUUCUACCCGCUGGAGGAGCUAGGCAUCAAUGCACCAUCCCAGCAGAUCACCAAACAACAGUCCUCAUCUCAGAUUUAACAACCUCACUCUCAUCUCCACUCACGGUCUUCCAGAUCGCUACUCUGAUGACAACAUGAGAUUUCUGGCUACAAGUCACUGCUACAGUGAUCAGGAUCAAGCCCAGCUGUCUUUGCGCUCCUGGAUCAGCAUGGUGAUGGAUAAGAUGAAGGCCAUCGAAAGCAAGGCCAAACACCUGGAGCUGAUGGAGAAUGGUGAUGCUGUGCUGUAUGGAAACACUAUAGACAUGUUCACCUGCGUUGAGACACUCAUGCAUCUCGGUGUCAGCGGCCGUCGGAUUCAUGUUGUCCAUCCUCCUGAAGAAGAUCCAUUUUCCUGUUUCCACAACGUUUCAGUGGAGCAUGCAGUAAAACAAGCACUAGAAAAGGAGGAAGUCCAUGUCCAUCACGACUGCCUGUUGACACAAAUCAACGAUGGACAACACACAGAUCCUGUGACAUUAGUGUCCUUCACCACUGAUGCUCAGACUUUACGACUGGAGUCCGCUAUGUUCUUCAUCUUCUCUCAUAAAACUUUCGACUAUGAUGCCUUUAAGGCCAUCAGUGAUGCCUGUUUGGUGUUCGAUGGCCGUUUGGUCAUAGAUUCCUACUUCCACACCAAUGACCCCUCCAUAUACGCCGCAGGCCCCUUGACCAAAUACUCCCGCUGUUACCAUGCCGACCAGUGGAGCGACUCCUGCAUUAAUUCUAAGGAGGUGGGGCAGAGUUUGGCAUCUGUUCUCCUGCCCUUAUGUGACCCGACCCUGGAGCGUCCCGCCGGCCCACCGUCUGACCACAACCACCUCAUUCCAGUGUAUAAUCAGGCCAAGAUCCAAGAGAGAACUGGUUCUUGGCUCUUUAUCACGACCGCUUUGCUGACUUUGAACAGGAAGUACGGCAAAUCAUGGACUCUGCCAAACUAGAGGGUGAGAAUGAUUCAGUGCCGAUACAAGAGGCUCUUUAGAAGAUAGCGUAUGAUAAAGGAGAGUCCGAUCAGUCAGUGAGUCUCAGCGAGGUGUUUCAGAAAAGAGAGGCUUAUUCUGCUCUGAGGUAAAGAGUUCUGGAUUAUCUGAAGUACAACAGAUACCCUCUGACUAUGUACUUCCGGCCGGGAAUGCUGGAAUCAAUAUCCAUUUAAUAUUUAGAAGUAUUUAUUCAGUACUUUAUCUUUUUUUAUUAUUUCUUUAUUUCCUCCAUUUGCUGCACCAUAUGUUUGGGGGGAACACAUUGUGGGGGUUGGGGCUCAAAUAACUUCACAGCAAAUAAAUAAAGCUUCUUGUUUUGUCA
Molecule: long non-coding RNA, 2160 nt
Organism: Cyprinus carpio (common carp)
Lineage: Eukaryota; Metazoa; Chordata; Actinopteri; Cypriniformes; Cyprinidae
Source: Ensembl